ACGCACGCUUGCGGCGUGCUUCACCCAUGCAAGUCGCACGGAAAGGCCCUGCUUUUGUGGGGUGCUCGAGUGGCGAACGGGUUAGUAACACGUGAGUUACCUGCCCUUGACUUUGGGAUAACUUCAGGAAACUGGGGCUAAUACCGGAUAGGAGCUCCUGCUGCAUGGUGGGGGUUGGAAAGUUUCGGCGGUUGGGGAUGGACUCGCGGCUUAUCAGCUUGUUGGUGGGGUAGUGGCUUACCAAGGCUUUGACGGGUAGCCGGCCUGAGAGGGUGACCGGCCACAUUGGGACUGAGAUACGGCCCAGACUCCUACGGGAGGCAGCAGUGGGGAAUAUUGCACAAUGGGCGGAAGCCUGAUGCAGCAACGCCGCGUGCGGGAUGACGGCCUUCGGGUUGUAAACCGCUUUCGCCUGUGACGAAGCGUGAGUGACGGUAAUGGGUAAAGAAGCACCGGCUAACUACGUG
RNAcentral lists this ribosomal RNA (467 nucleotides) under uncultured bacterium. RNAcentral's name for it is "partial 16S ribosomal RNA". It matches the Rfam family "Bacterial small subunit ribosomal RNA", at positions 29 to 507 of the family's 1533-position model. The record is from RNAcentral.